This 672-nucleotide ribosomal RNA is filed under the name uncultured marine eukaryote. Its description in RNAcentral is "bacterial SSU rRNA". It matches the Rfam family "Eukaryotic small subunit ribosomal RNA", at positions 606 to 1285 of the family's 1831-position model. The record is from RNAcentral.
UUGUCGUUGCGGUUAAAACGCUCGUAGUUGGGUAUCUGCUGAGAACUGCUGGUCUAUCCCAGUGAUACGUACACGGUUUGAUCUCGGCAAGCACCUGAGUAAAGUGUCGGCACUUAAUUGUGUUGCUCUUGAAUCAGAACUUUUACUUUGAGGAAAUGAGAGUGUUUCAAGCAGGCCACUGUCAUGAAUACGUUAGCAUGGAAUAAUAGCACAGGACUUCGGUCUGGGGCUGUUGGUUUUCGGACCGAGGUAACGGAAAUGGGGAUAGUUGGGGGCAUUCGUAUUUAACUGUCAGAGGUGAAAUUCUUGGAUUUUUUAAAGACGGACUACAGCGAAAGCAUCUGCCCAGGAUGUUUUUAUUAAUCAAGAACGAAAGUUAGGGGAUCGAAGACGAUCAGAUACCGUCCUAGUCUUAACCAUAAACUAUGCCGACUAGAGAUUGGUGGCGUCUGACAUAUGACGCCCUCAGCACCUUGAGAGAAAUCAAAGUCUUUGGGUUCCGGGGGGAGUAUGGUCGCGAGGCUGAAACUUAAAGGAAUUGACGGAAGGGCACCACCAGGAGUGGAGCCUGCGGCUUAAUUUGACUCAACACGGGGAAACUUACCAGGGCCAGACAUAGAGAGGAUUGACAGACUGAUAGCUCUUUCUUGAUUCUAUGGGGUGGUGGUGCAU